CUUCUGUCAAGGCCGGUGUCUCCUCGGAUCCGGGUCCCCCUCUGUACACGGGAGGGGCCUGGCUGUCACAAUGACACCCUUUUGGGUGUGCGGGGAAAACACGGCUGAAUGUUAAAUAAACACGCGCUAAUUACCCUGAGAAUAUUUAUUGAGGUUUUCCCACGUUGUAAUAAGAAAUUAUUGAAACAUAUAUCACCCACCGAGCUGUUAAUCAUUGGUAAAUAUAUUUUAAAUACAGCAGUCCAUUAGUAUUUUAAUUUAGCCUGUCUCCUGGAGAAUAUGUGCUGUAUGAGACAAAUGUCUCCAGCUCCAGAGCCAAGGGAAAAAUUUCCUCACCUAGUUAAUCUUUAUGUUUUCCUCUCAGGGAGGAAAUCCCGGCUGCACCAGCAAAAGAAAUGUUCCCUGGGGUCCAGUAUUGAUGUAUGGUCGUGUCACCUUGUGCUCAUUAGCAGCAUCCUCACUCAGAUGAAAGCCAUGUCUGUGGUUCAGGAGGAAAUGUUUCCUCUUCAGACAAAGCGCUGA
RNAcentral lists this long non-coding RNA (522 nucleotides) under Vulpes vulpes (red fox). RNAcentral describes it as "lncRNA (ENSVVUG00000024105.1)". The record is from RNAcentral. Lineage: Eukaryota; Metazoa; Chordata; Mammalia; Carnivora; Canidae.